This is a long non-coding RNA of Zea mays, 593 nucleotides long. RefSeq lists it as uncharacterized. The record is from RefSeq and is a predicted model, not a curated record. The transcript has 2 exons. Lineage: Eukaryota; Viridiplantae; Streptophyta; Magnoliopsida; Poales; Poaceae.
AACAAACCGAGCACACGGUCCGCCUGAAAUCCCACCAACGUCACCCUCAAUCGAACUUCUUCGUGGAGUAUAAGAGAGACAUCGGGGACCCUUCGACCCUCAUCCAUCUCGCCCAAGUGCCACGGAACCGUGAGUGGGGGAUAGGAUUUCCUGCGGUGGUGACCACGGACCGCCGACGUGAUUCUCUGCCAUCGAUGGGACUUGGAACGCAGGAUUGAGCCAUGUGUUCGCCGAGGCACCCCGUGUGUGUUGGUGGGCUUCUCGGGCAUGGACAUCAACCAGGAUCGAGGGAAUUCCUCACCGGCGUUCGAGACUCACCGUGGGUAGGAGUCCCUGGGUCGCCAUACCUGGUCAAGAACAAGUACCGCCAGAUGAGGAGCAGCAAGGAUGUCGCGAUGAGUUCAUGAGAGGUCUAGGUCGUCGUCUCCUAGUCAACAAUGGAUGUGGUGGAUCGUUGUCUUCUUAUGAUGUAAUAACUUAGCUAUUUUCUCUUCUAAAGACAAAAGAGGAUUUCACACCUUGGAUCAUGUACCUAAAGUGACCCUUAGGAAUAGUACCCCUAAUCCUAGGAAUAAAAAAUUAUCAUUUUUGUA